RNAcentral lists this ribosomal RNA (411 nucleotides) under soil bacterium NS14. Its description in RNAcentral is "bacterial SSU rRNA". It matches the Rfam family "Bacterial small subunit ribosomal RNA", at positions 47 to 505 of the family's 1533-position model. The record is from RNAcentral.
CUUAACACAUGCAAGUCGAGCCGCCCCGCAAGGGGAGCGGCAGACGGGUGAGUAACGCGUGGGAAUCUACCCAUCUCUACGGAACAACUCCGGGAAACUGGAGCUAAUACCGUAUACGUCCUUCGGGAGAAAGAUUUAUCGGAGAUGGAUGAGCCCGCGUUGGAUUAGCUAGUUGGUGGGGUAAUGGCCUACCAAGGCGACGAUCCAUAGCUGGUCUGAGAGGAUGAUCAGCCACACUGGGACUGAGACACGGCCCAGACUCCUACGGGAGGCAGCAGUGGGGAAUAUUGGACAAUGGGCGCAAGCCUGAUCCAGCCAUGCCGCGUGAGUGAUGAAGGCCCUAGGGUUGUAAAGCUCUUUCAACGGUGAAGAUAAUGACGGUAACCGUAGAAGAAGCCCCGGCUAACUUCG